GCCCCCUUGGCGAAACUGGUAGACGCACAGGACUUAAAAUCCUGAGCCCUCUGGGCGUGCCGGUUCGACCCCGGCAGGGGGCA
This 83-nucleotide transfer RNA is filed under the name Rhizobiales bacterium GAS191. RNAcentral describes it as "tRNA_Leu_TAA". It matches the Rfam family "tRNA". From Rfam's summary of the family: Transfer RNA (tRNA) molecules are approximately 80 nucleotides in length. Their secondary structure includes four short double-helical elements and three loops (D, anti-codon, and T loops). Further hydrogen bonds mediate the characteristic L-shaped molecular structure. tRNAs have two regions of fundamental functional importance: the anti-codon, which is responsible for specific mRNA codon recognition, and the 3' end, to which the tRNAs corresponding amino acid is attached (by aminoacyl-tRNA synthetases). tRNAs cope with the degeneracy of the genetic code in two manners: having more than one tRNA (with a specific anti-codon) for a particular amino acid; and 'wobble' base-pairing, i.e. permitting non-standard base-pairing at the 3rd anti-codon position. RNAcentral also lists the same sequence under 2 other names. The record is from RNAcentral. Lineage: Bacteria; Pseudomonadati; Pseudomonadota; Alphaproteobacteria; Hyphomicrobiales.